AGAGGAAGAGAGACGAAACGGUGAGUAUUCUUAACAGAAGGAAGAGUGGAGUUGAAAACGGCUUUUCACCGGCCAUCUUCACCACUCAAAUCCACAAAACCAAAAUGCUUCACCUUCUUCCUCCUCCUCCUCCUUCCCUGCUCUUUUUCUCUUUAUUAUCUUUCUUUCUCCUCUAAAACCCAUUCAGAAAAACCAGACUGUGAAGCUAUUUGUUUUGUCAUUUGGGAGGGAUCUUGCCUUGGGUGACUGACUGUUCUUCUGCAAUGGCUGCUGCUGUUGCUUUUCUGGGUGACGGCUUUAUUGACCAAGCUACUCCUGGUCCCGAGGAGAUACACUCUCCUCGUGCCUCUGUAAAUCGAAGGUCAUUUUCAUGCCUUCACAGAUGAGAGAUGGAGAAGCAGUGGAGAGCACAAUGUAGAUUGUAGCUCCUUCUUUCCUUCUUUUCUCUCUCUGUCACUUUCUCUUUCUUUCUCCUCUCUGUGUAGAAUCCCCUUGUUGCGUAGAAAAAGGCAGACAGGAUGGAGCCAGGCAGAUAUUUACAUAAUAUAAAAGUUUCUUUUAGCUCAAAAAACAGCACUAAUCUCACACUUCUCUUUUUAUUUUUUUAAAAGAAGAAAAUUUUAUCUCUGGGCUUUUUUGGUCGUAUUUCUUCCUUUUUUUUUUUUUUUUUCUUUUCUUUUUUUUUUCUUUGGUGAUAUUUUAAUGGCGGAAGAGGAGGGGGCAUACACUUCUUCAUCAAUCAUGGGUAUGAGUUACCGUGCGCCGAAAUGCAGUGAAGAAGACGGUGUUUGAAGCAUUUUGGUGAAUGUUUGUUGUUCGCAUUUAUGUACAAGCAAGAUGUUGUAAGCCAUGAUGCUGAUGAUGAUGAUACGAUGUUCAUUGUAAGACAGGAAUGUCUUCCAGAGAAGACGGCAAAAACAUGAAGAGAAGAUGUGGACUGCUUCUGUAUUAUUCUUUAUUUUCCAAGGUACUUUUUGUCUAUCAUUGUGGAUAGUGACAUUGGCCUGCUUAGUAUCUUCUCUUCUGUUCAUAUUAAGAUUUAUUUCCCAAUCUGCCUGCUACAUUUACUAGCCAAGGAUGUUUGGCCAAAACAUUUAAUGCAGGUUUUCCUUUCA
Long non-coding RNA from Carica papaya (papaya), 1115 nucleotides. RefSeq lists it as uncharacterized. The record is from RefSeq and is a predicted model, not a curated record. Lineage: Eukaryota; Viridiplantae; Streptophyta; Magnoliopsida; Brassicales; Caricaceae.